RNAcentral lists this ribosomal RNA (253 nucleotides) under uncultured bacterium. Its description in RNAcentral is "partial 16S ribosomal RNA". It matches the Rfam family "Bacterial small subunit ribosomal RNA", at positions 524 to 776 of the family's 1533-position model. The record is from RNAcentral.
UACGUAGGGGGCAAGCGUUGUCCGGAAUCAUUGGGCGUAAAGAGCGUGUAGGCGGCCAGAUAAGUCCGCUGUGAAAUCUCGAGGCUCAACCUCGAGAGGUCAUCGGAAACCAUCUGGCUAGAGUCCGGAAGAGGAGAGUGGAAUUCCUGGUGUAGCGGUGAAAUGCGCAGAUAUCAGGAGGAACACCAAUGGCGAAGGCAGCUCGCUGGGACGUGACUGACGCUGAGACGCGAAAGCGUGGGGAGCAAACAGG